AACGAACGCUGGCGGCAUGCCUAACACAUGCAAGUCGAACGAGACCUUCGGGUCUAGUGGCGCACGGGUGCGUAACGCGUGGGAACCUGCCCCUAGGUUCGGAAUAACUCCCCGAAAGGGGUGCUAAUACCGGAUAAUGUCUUCGGACCAAAGGUUUCUCGCCUUUGGAUGGGCCCGCGUUGGAUUAGCUGGUUGGUAGGGUAAAAGCCUACCAAGGCGACGUUCCCUAGCUGGUCUGUGAGGAGGGUCAGCCACACUGGGAGUGAGACACGGCCCAGACUCCUACGGGAGGCAGCAGUGGGGAAUAGUGGACAGCGGGCGAAAGCCUGAUCCAGCAAUGCCGCGUGAGUGAUGAAGGCCUUAGGGAUGUAAAGCGCUUUUACCCGGGAUGAUAAUGACAGUACCGGGAGAAUAAGCUCCGGCUAACUCCGUG
RNAcentral lists this ribosomal RNA (433 nucleotides) under uncultured bacterium. Its description in RNAcentral is "partial 16S ribosomal RNA". It matches the Rfam family "Bacterial small subunit ribosomal RNA", at positions 29 to 507 of the family's 1533-position model. The record is from RNAcentral.